AUUGAACGCUGGCGGCAGGCCUAACACAUGCAAGUCGAGCGGAUGAAGGGAGCUUGCUCCUGGAUUCAGCGGCGGACGGGUGAGUAAUGCCUAGGAAUCUGCCUGGUAGUGGGGGAUAACGUCCGGAAACGGGCGCUAAUACCGCAUACGUCCUGAGGGAGAAAGUGGGGGAUCUUCGGACCUCACGCUAUCAGAUGAGCCUAGGUCGGAUUAGCUAGUUGGUGGGGUAAAGGCCUACCAAGGCGACGAUCCGUAACUGGUCUGAGAGGAUGAUCAGUCACACUGGAACUGAGACACGGUCCAGACUCCUACGGGAGGCAGCAGUGGGGAAUAUUGGACAAUGGGCGAAAGCCUGAUCCAGCCAUGCCGCGUGUGUGAAGAAGAUCUUCGGAUUGUAAAGCACUUUAAGCUGGGAGGAAGGGCAGUAAGUUAAUACCUUGCUGUUUUGACGUUACCAACAGAAUAAGCACCGGCUAACUUCGUG
RNAcentral lists this ribosomal RNA (484 nucleotides) under uncultured bacterium. RNAcentral describes it as "partial 16S ribosomal RNA". It matches the Rfam family "Bacterial small subunit ribosomal RNA", at positions 30 to 507 of the family's 1533-position model. The record is from RNAcentral.